This is a long non-coding RNA of Mauremys mutica (yellowpond turtle), 213 nucleotides long. RefSeq lists it as uncharacterized. The transcript is spliced from 3 exons. NCBI's taxonomy places the organism in Eukaryota, Metazoa, Chordata, Testudines, Geoemydidae. The record is from RefSeq and is a predicted model, not a curated record.
CUGGCCAGCAGGGGGCGGUGAUAACUCUUUAUCCACUUCUCAGGCACUGUGAGGUGUGUGACUGAGCUCAGGGCUCUUAUCCUACAGAGCAUGGCCCUGUUCUGACAGCUGCUGCAGAGACCCCAACUGAGAUCUGGGCCCUGUUCUGCCAGGUACUGAAGAGACCUGAGGCUACAGAAUAACGUCCACAUUUCACUCCAGAUCAUCCCCUCC